GAGCAGCACCGUCCUCCAGAUGCUACAGGCUUAGCCUGUGCCUUGAAUCCUGGUGGAGGCUAAAGGAGGAGCAGGCUCAGAUGAUGGGGCAGAAAUCCGGGCACCGUAGAUGCAUUGCUGAAAAAGGAACAUGAUGUAUGUAACAAUUAAAUACUCAACAGCCUCAUCAGAACCACAAGACACAAAGGCACUGGCAGGACUCAGAAGAUGGUAGCCUCCCUAGAGCACUUUGAAUAAGUUAUGGUUACCUGGAAAAAGUGGCAGCACAAACUUAAUCUGAAGUCAAGCACAAGAGGAAGUGGUGGGAAGAACAUGGUCCAUGCAGUCCAACGCUUUGCAGACAUGACAAGCUGUGUCCUGUUGGUGUCUUCCCGAAUCCCUCCCUACAUCAGCCAACACAAGGAGAGACAUCUCGAGAUGUGCUCUGGGAUGCAAGAUGCUGCCGCUCUGGAUGCAAAUUUCCCAGAAAUCACGCUCCUCCACUGGAUGUCUUCAACGAUCCUCCCUUCCCAGCCAUCGCUUUGCAGAGGGCAGGUCACAGAACCAGGGCAUAAAACGUCCCCUUCGUGCCCCUGCCUGAUGGCUGGGCUGAGCGUGGCCCCACCAAAGGCAGGAGCUGUGGCUGUGCGCAGGGGAGGCUCCGCAAAGCAGCCCCCUCAUUUUCUCCAGCACUCACAGGGCUCCAGUGAGUGA
Molecule: long non-coding RNA, 693 nt
Filed under: Anas platyrhynchos platyrhynchos (common mallard)
Lineage: Eukaryota; Metazoa; Chordata; Aves; Anseriformes; Anatidae
Description: lncRNA (ENSAPLG00000018227.1)
Source: RNAcentral